CCUACGGGUGGCAGCAGUGGGGAAUAUUGGACAAUGGGGGGAACCCUGAUCCAGCCAUGCCGCGUGUGUGAAGAAGGCCCUCGGGUUGUAAAGCACUUUCAGUGAGGAAGAACGCCUGGUGGUGAAUACCCAUCAGGAAAGACAUCACUCACAGAAGAAGCACCGGCUAACUCCGUGCCAGCAGCCGCGGUAAUACGGAGGGUGCGAGCGUUAAUCGGAAUUACUGGGCGUAAAGCGCGCGUAGGUGGCUUGAUAAGCCGGUUGUGAAAGCCCCGGGCUCAACCUGGGAACGGCAUCCGGAACUGUCAAGCUAGAGUGCAGGAGAGGAAGGUAGAAUUCCCGGUGUAGCGGUGAAAUGCGUAGAGAUCGGGAGGAAUACCAGUGGCGAAGGCGGCCUUCUGGACUGACACUGACACUGAGGUGCGAAAGCGUGGGUAGCAAACAGGAUUAGAUACCCGUGUAGUC
Molecule: ribosomal RNA, 465 nt
Filed under: Vreelandella stevensii
Lineage: Bacteria; Pseudomonadati; Pseudomonadota; Gammaproteobacteria; Oceanospirillales; Halomonadaceae
Description: partial 16S ribosomal RNA
Rfam family: Bacterial small subunit ribosomal RNA
Source: RNAcentral